Molecule: long non-coding RNA, 2308 nt
Filed under: Chinchilla lanigera (long-tailed chinchilla)
Lineage: Eukaryota; Metazoa; Chordata; Mammalia; Rodentia; Chinchillidae
Description: lncRNA (ENSCLAG00000024450.1)
Source: RNAcentral
UGCUAACUGGAAAACAAGAACAAAAAUGAACUACUAGGUAGUUGAAACCACUGACUCUUGCUGCUCCUUCCUGCCCCUGGGUAAUUUAUGGCAGCAGAGCUGGGCUCCCACACUGCGGCUGCCACUUUGGCGUGGCUGUUCUGCUCACCGCGCAGGGGGCAGCCGGCCAAGGAGGAAGCCAUGCUGCCCGCUCUGUGGAUUUCAAGCCACACUGCGCAUGCUGGAGUUCCCACAGCCGCCCCUGCAGCCCCUACUCCCGGGAUCUCAGAGGUAUAUUUGUGGGGCACUGGCCACAUGAGCAUUGAGCUACUGCUCUGGAGCUGAAAAGAUGUGUAAGUCAUGACAGCUGAUUGUAUGAAUUCCUUUGGGGGGGGGCAGUACCAGGAAUUGGACUCAGGCAGUGCUUGCCAGGCAGGCGCUGUGCCACUGAGCUAUACCCCUGGCCCUAUGUCAGUUCUUGAUGUGGAGAAAACCACUCCAGAACAUUGCCCAUGAAUUCAGCUAUUUGUCUAAGCUAAAGUCUGACUUUAGGAUGAUUUGGCCCUGAGCCAAGUAGCCUCCCUCCCUCCAACAGGUUAGUCCAGACAAGUCUGCUGGUGGUAGCAGGAGUUCAACAAAAUCAAAAGACUCAAGGACUUUCAAGCCUCACUGAAAUCAGCCUUGGUGCUAUUCCAGUGGUCAAAAUAUGACCCAUAGGAAAGCCAGUACAGGAGGCCACUACCAAAGGGAGCAAAUACGGAGAGAUACAAAAGUGUGAAGUCCUUUGUGCAAAGCCAAGCACUGUGAGUGAAGUACAGCCCAGCAGUGACAGAGGUUGGAAUCACAGCAACAAAGAAAUAAUGGAGAAGCAGCUCCUAGGGCUUGGCUGGGUGGGCACUUGAAGCAGGAACUUUUGCCUAUAAACUGGGUUUUGAAGGGUGAGUGGGAGAAUACCAGGGGUUCUGCAUGGAGGGGUGGUGUAGGGCCAGGGAAGUAGGUGUUCAUCACGUGGAACAACAUGCCUGAGGGACAGUGUGACCAUGUUACCAUGGUGAUCUUCUGGGACACUGCCUCUUUCCUUUCCACGCCACUGCAGGACUUGUCCUCCUUUUUUCCUCUCCUUCUUCCUUUAGAUCUUUUGACUUUGACUUUUUUUUUUUUUUUUUGUUUUUUCUCCGGUACCGGGAACCGAACUCACGACCUCGCGCUUGCCAGACAGGCGCUUUGCCGCUGAGCUAAAUCCCCAGCCCCUUGACUUUGACUUCUUUUAGGUAUUUAUGAUCCUAGUCAGUUGCUGCCAUCCAGGGCCCACCUACCGAAUAAACCUCUCUUUCUUUCUCAUCAUCACCUCGAACCCUGGUUUAUACUUCUCCAUGCCUCCUGGGUAGUUUCCUGCGGCCACAUCCCAAGGACACUUGACAUCCAUUAUCCUUCCCACCUUCUGGUUUAGCUCCCAGAGGUCCCACUUGCAAUUAUUAGCACCAACGUCUGCUGUGUCACCCAGCCAAGAACAAGAGCCCUGUUUGUCUCUCCCCUUCCUUUUCUCACUGUAUUUCCCAGCCCCAGGUCCUGCUGCCUUUGACCCAUAAGCAGUCUCCAGUUCGCUCCCCUCCUUUUUAUGACUGCACCCCCAACUUUUUCACCACAAUCUUCAUCAUCUGAAAUGACCACAGCAGCCCCAACUGUUUUUCCCUUCGCAAAUCCAGCACGCACCCAACUUCCAGUAUCACUUAUCUAAAAUGCAAAUUCAGGUCUACAAAUCUUUUGCCUAAAGUCUUUUGUGCUUCCUCACUAGCUAUUGCACCUUCACAAGAUCCAGGGCACCCUCAGGAAAUUGCUCCAUGGAUCUCAAUGUUCUUUUCUCCUAUUCUCAAAAUACACCUUAUACUGUGGGAAGGAAAUUCUUGUUCAGGAAGUCAUGCUGGGUUUAUUACAGGUCUCCUUGCUCAUGGGAGUUUGAUAUCUCCUACCCUCUCUGCCUCCAUGUCCACUUUUUUCAUGUUAUGUUUCUUCAUUAAGAUAUUGCAUCUUCAUAGCUGCUAGUUUACAUAUUUAAAAAUUAUUCAUUUGGAAAUAGAAAAUUUUACUUUGGAGUACUGGUUGGGAUGAUAUCAGUCAUCAUAGAUCACACAGAAGCACAUGCUUUGCUUUUCUCAGAACUGUGAAGCAAAGCCAAGUGCAGAAUAAUUUUCAUAACUGAGAAGAAGACAAGUUCAAAGCACUAAAUCAUAGAAAGAAAAAAUUUUUCCCCUGUAAAUCUUGCCACAUAAGAUUUAUAACAAGAGAGUUUAUGGUAAGCAUAAGUGGCCUCCAUAUUUACAUCUGCCAG